AUUGAACGCUGGCGGCAUGCUUUACACAUGCAAGUCGAACGGCAGCGCGGGGCAACCUGGCGGCGAGUGGCGAACGGGUGAGUAAUACAUCGGAACGUACCCAGAAGUGGGGGAUAACGUAGCGAAAGUUACGCUAAUACCGCAUACGUUCUACGGAAGAAAGUGGGGGACCUUCGGGCCUCAUGCUUUUGGAGCGGCCGAUGUCUGAUUAGCUAGUUGGUGAGGUAAAGGCUCACCAAGGCGACGAUCAGUAGCUGGUCUGAGAGGACGACCAGCCACACUGGGACUGAGACACGGCCCAGACUCCUACGGGAGGCAGCAGUGGGGAAUUUUGGACAAUGGGCGCAAGCCUGAUCCAGCAAUGCCGCGCGAGUGAAGAAGGCCUUCGGGUUGUAAAGCUCUUUUGUCAGGGAAGAAACGGCUGAGGAUAAUACCUUCGGCUAAUGACGGUACCUGAAGAAUAAGCACCGGCUAACUACGUG
This 482-nucleotide ribosomal RNA is filed under the name uncultured bacterium. RNAcentral describes it as "partial 16S ribosomal RNA". It matches the Rfam family "Bacterial small subunit ribosomal RNA", at positions 30 to 507 of the family's 1533-position model. The record is from RNAcentral.